AAGACCUUUAAAUCAGUCCCGUGAGACUGGCAAGGUAACGCUCGUUUACGAGAAAGAACACGUGAAGAGCGGAAGGAAGAAGCAUGUCCGUCAGAUGCCGAGAGCUAUGAUGGAUCACGAAGAGCUUCAACUUCUGCGCUGUAGCUUCAUGCAGCUUCUUUCCGCGCAUAUCGUGAAUGCACAACUCCUUGCCUACGGGUAAGGAGUUUUUUUGU
This 215-nucleotide small RNA is filed under the name Paenibacillus alvei. Its description in RNAcentral is "PyrR". It matches the Rfam family "PyrR binding site". Rfam says of the family: This family represents the PyrR binding site and terminator structure. This RNA structure is found upstream of a variety of genes involved in pyrimidine biosynthesis and transport. The record is from RNAcentral. Lineage: Bacteria; Bacillati; Bacillota; Bacilli; Caryophanales; Paenibacillaceae.